CCCUGGUUAUGCUCAGUUGGUAGAGCGCUCCACUUGUAAUGGAGAGGUCCCGGGUUCGAUACCCGGACCAGGCG
RNAcentral lists this transfer RNA (74 nucleotides) under Ixodes scapularis (black-legged tick). It matches the Rfam family "tRNA". From Rfam's summary of the family: Transfer RNA (tRNA) molecules are approximately 80 nucleotides in length. Their secondary structure includes four short double-helical elements and three loops (D, anti-codon, and T loops). Lineage: Eukaryota; Metazoa; Arthropoda; Arachnida; Ixodida; Ixodidae. The record is from Rfam by way of RNAcentral.